GCUAGUAGUUGACGUAAGAACAUAAGAUGUUUCUGUGGUGUAGUGGUUAUCACGUUUGCUUUACACGCAAAAGGUCUCCGGUUCGAUCCCGGGCAGGAACAU
Molecule: transfer RNA, 102 nt
Filed under: Helianthus annuus (common sunflower)
Lineage: Eukaryota; Viridiplantae; Streptophyta; Magnoliopsida; Asterales; Asteraceae
Description: hypothetical non coding rna
Rfam family: tRNA (bases 29-101)
About the family: Transfer RNA (tRNA) molecules are approximately 80 nucleotides in length. Their secondary structure includes four short double-helical elements and three loops (D, anti-codon, and T loops). Further hydrogen bonds mediate the characteristic L-shaped molecular structure. tRNAs have two regions of fundamental functional importance: the anti-codon, which is responsible for specific mRNA codon recognition, and the 3' end, to which the tRNAs corresponding amino acid is attached (by aminoacyl-tRNA synthetases). tRNAs cope with the degeneracy of the genetic code in two manners: having more than one tRNA (with a specific anti-codon) for a particular amino acid; and 'wobble' base-pairing, i.e. permitting non-standard base-pairing at the 3rd anti-codon position.
Source: RNAcentral